GGGAGGCCGAUUGCAAGUGUCGACAAGCAAUCGGAACGCGAGUUAAGGUUCACACGUGAGCGGCGCGGCGGCGCGAGGCGAGGGCGUAGCAUUAUAGUUAGCGCCCUACCACCGAGACCAGAGAUAGCGGUACGCUGAGUCGGCUUGCUUAGGAUUGUAGAAAAUGAAAAGAAUCAAGUUGUAAUAAUCAUGUUAAAUCGGAUUGUAUUUGGAAGUUGAAUGUAAUAAGUAUUUGGGAUGUAAAAUGUAUGAAUGUGAAUGCUUGUAAUAA
This is a long non-coding RNA of Ananas comosus (pineapple), 271 nucleotides long. RefSeq lists it as uncharacterized. Lineage: Eukaryota; Viridiplantae; Streptophyta; Magnoliopsida; Poales; Bromeliaceae. The record is from RefSeq and is a predicted model, not a curated record. The transcript is spliced from 2 exons.